This is a long non-coding RNA of Ficedula albicollis (Collared flycatcher), 653 nucleotides long. Lineage: Eukaryota; Metazoa; Chordata; Aves; Passeriformes; Muscicapidae. The record is from Ensembl.
CCUCUUUUUUUCUUUUUUUUCAGAUCAAAUUUUUAUGGUUCUGGGUCUAUAAUUUAUGAUAUGCACUUGUGUCCAGUAUAAUUGACUCAGCAGGGGUAUAAGUGGAUAAAGCUGGGACUACAAUGUGGAAGAUCAGUGAGACACUAGCAACAAGGCUUUGCUCUGAGGGAGGUGGUCAGUAGUAGUGGCAUAUUUUGUAAACUUGCCCCUCAGUUCUCUCCAGGAGACAACAGUCUCUCUUGCCAGCUCCAUGGGACUAAGGCACUCUUAAUGAUAUCAAGAGUGAAAAUUUUCAGCUGCAUGGACGUCUUGCAAAGUCAAAUGAAGGACUUCAGGUGAGAACUACUGGCAGCUUUUUCCUGUAAACACUGAUGCUGGAUUUGUAUAUGGUACCAAUCAGAAAACACUAAAUUAUUAAUUUCUGUCCUGAUUUCAUCAUUCCUUAAGACAUAGAACAUAAUUUUGCCCACUGUAAAAUAAAGAGAAAAGCUGCUAUUCAGUUUCAUAUUGUACUUGUGAAGGAAGCAAGUUUCUGCAUCUGAGAUUUCUGCAUUUGUUUAGCUGUCCCACUUGCACACCAGCUUCUUCAACACCUACAGAGCCGCUCAGAAGCAGAAUCCAAAACAGAAUUAAACCUGAGAGAGGAAUCAGAA